Xiphophorus hellerii (green swordtail) is the source of this 677-nucleotide long non-coding RNA. RefSeq lists it as uncharacterized. NCBI's taxonomy places the organism in Eukaryota, Metazoa, Chordata, Actinopteri, Cyprinodontiformes, Poeciliidae. The transcript is spliced from 3 exons. The record is from RefSeq and is a predicted model, not a curated record.
AGUUUUUGUGCAUGCACUUGUUUUUCUCCACCACUAGAUGGCGCCUUUACCAUUCCGUCGGAGGGCGUGGAUGACGUCAUCCCACACCUGAUGCGAGUUUUGGCUCAUCAGCGAGAUGUUCAAGAGGAGCUGACUGCCAGUCCUUCGGCGCCUGAGUGUUAGCCAGUCACGGUGUUUCCUCCUGGCUCCUCUACAACCGCUGAUCCUGAGCCUACCUGUCCGCCCUCCGACGUACUCCCUUUGCCUCCUGGAUCCCCGCUGUCAGACAAGACGACCACCUGGAACCUCUGAGAACUAAAACCCCGGACGCUGCAGUUACCCUCUCACUUCUCUAACCUGCCGAUCACAAGUGUUUCCUCCUGGCUCCUCUACAACCGCUGAUCCUGAGCCUACCUGUCCGCCCUCCGACGUACUCCCUUUGCCUCCUGGAUCCCCCUGUCAGACAAGACGACCACCUGGAACCUCUGAGAACUAAAACCCCGGACGCUGCAGUUACCCUCUCACUUCUCUAACCUGCCGAUCACAAGUAAGAUCUGCCCCUUCACUCUUAACGUUGUCAUUUCCUACAAACCUGAACUCAUCACCUCCCUCUGCCUCUCUAGUGAACUGUUUGUUCCCUGGACCCGACCCAACUAUUCCUGCCAGCAGUGUUUUCAAUAAAUUUAUCUUUAUUUUCA